Pimephales promelas (fathead minnow) is the source of this 473-nucleotide non-coding RNA. The record is from RefSeq and is a predicted model, not a curated record. Lineage: Eukaryota; Metazoa; Chordata; Actinopteri; Cypriniformes; Leuciscidae.
CUGACGAAUCAGCAGUCGGCAUUGUUUCACGUCACAUUUUAGUAUCUCCAUAGCUCGCGCAGAAACUCGCGGAAUGUGAUACAAAAAAGUACCCGAAAUCUUUUACACAGUGGAAAACAAAGAUCACAUCAUCAUUGAAGCUCCACCCACUGUAAUUCAUCAUCAGUGAAGCUCCUCCCACUGCAAUUAUCUAAUAAAUGCUGUUCCAUCAGCUACAAGUGAAAGAAGAACCACAUGUACAAGUAAGAGAAUCAGAGCAUCAGGAAGAGCUGAAAUCUGUAAAGAUUGAGUUUAUUAAAGAGGACAGUGAGAACACGAGUGAUCCAGAACCCUGCAGAAUGAAACACACUGAAGAUCCUGACAAACAAAGAGCCAGAGUCGGGCAGAGAGAACCAGUUAUCCGCAAGUGAGAUAAUCGGUGAAGUGUGUUCAUGACCUGAUGAAAGUGAAGGAGAGAGAAGAACUGGUGGAAG